GACGAACGCUGGCGGCGUGCUUAACACAUGCAAGUCGAACGGAAAGGCCUGCUUUCCCUUGUGGAUUGCGGGUACUCGAGUGGCGAACGGGUGAGUAACACGUGAGUGAUCUGCCCCCAACUUGGGUAUAAGCCUGGGAAACUGGGUCUAAUUCCCGAUAGGACUGCAGGGUGGUGCCUGUGGUGGAAAACGAUUUUCUAGUGGUUGGGGAUGAGCUCGCGGCCUAUCAGCUUGUGGGUGGGGUAAUGGCCUACCAAGGCGGCGACGGGUAGCCGGCCUGAGAGGGUGGACGGCGACAUUGGGACUGAGAUACGGCCCAGACUCCUACGGGAGGCAGCAGUGGGGAAUAUUGCACAAUGGGCGGAAGCCUGAUGCAGCGACGCCGCGUGGGGGAUGACGGCCUUCGGGUUGUAAACUCCUUUCGACCGCGAGGAAGCCACCUGGUUGGAAGGGUGGUGACGGUAGUGGUAGAAGAAGCACCGGCUAACUACGUG
This 494-nucleotide ribosomal RNA is filed under the name uncultured bacterium. Its description in RNAcentral is "partial 16S ribosomal RNA". It matches the Rfam family "Bacterial small subunit ribosomal RNA", at positions 28 to 507 of the family's 1533-position model. The record is from RNAcentral.